This is a small nuclear RNA of Phyllostomus discolor (pale spear-nosed bat), 134 nucleotides long. RefSeq annotates it as U11 spliceosomal RNA. The transcript has a single exon. NCBI's taxonomy places the organism in Eukaryota, Metazoa, Chordata, Mammalia, Chiroptera, Phyllostomidae. The record is from RefSeq and is a predicted model, not a curated record.
AAAAAGGGCUUCUGUUGUGAGUGGCACCUUUAGGGCAAUGUGAUUGCUCUACAUGCAGAAUCGACAUCAAGCGAUUUCAGAAGCACAAUUUUUUGGUACCUGGGCAGUUAGUGAUCCUUGGUCCUGGCACCUGC